GAUGAACGCUGGCGGCGUGCUUAACACAUGCAAGUCGAACGGUGAAGGCGGAGCUUGCUCUGCUGGAUCAGUGGCGAACGGGUGAGUAACACGUGAGCAAUCUGCCCCUGACUCUGGGAUAAGCGCUGGAAACGGCGUCUAAUACUGGAUACGAGCUGCGAAGGCAUCUUCAGCAGCUGGAAAGAAUUUCGGUCAGGGAUGAGCUCGCGGCCUAUCAGCUUGUUGGUGAGGUAAUGGCUCACCAAGGCGUCGACGGGUAGCCGGCCUGAGAGGGUGACCGGCCACACUGGGACUGAGACACGGCCCAGACUCCUACGGGAGGCAGCAGUGGGGAAUAUUGCACAAUGGGGGAAAGCCUGAUGCAGCAACGCCGCGUGAGGGACGACGGCCUUCGGGUUGUAAACCUCUUUUAGCAGGGAAGAAGCGAAAGUGACGGUACCUGCAGAAAAAGCGCCGGCUAACUACGUG
Molecule: ribosomal RNA, 468 nt
Filed under: uncultured bacterium
Lineage: Bacteria
Description: partial 16S ribosomal RNA
Rfam family: Bacterial small subunit ribosomal RNA
Source: RNAcentral